This 495-nucleotide ribosomal RNA is filed under the name uncultured bacterium. Its description in RNAcentral is "partial 16S ribosomal RNA". It matches the Rfam family "Bacterial small subunit ribosomal RNA", at positions 28 to 507 of the family's 1533-position model. The record is from RNAcentral.
GACGAACGCUGGCGGCGUGCCUAAUACAUGCAAGUAGAACGCUGAAGGAGGAGCUUGCUCUUCUGGAUGAGUUGCGAACGGGUGAGUAACGCGUAGGUAACCUGCCUGGUAGCGGGGGAUAACUAUUGGAGACGAUAGCUAAUACCGCAUAAGAGUAGAUGUUGCAUGACAUUUACUUAAAAGGUGCAAUUGCAUCACUACCAGAUGGACCUGCGUUGUAUUAGCUAGUUGGUGGGGUAACGGCUUACCAAGGCGACGAUACAUAGCCGACCUGAGAGGGUGAUCGGCCACACUGGGACUGAGACACGGCCCAGACUCCUACGGGAGGCAGCAGUAGGGAAUCUUCGGCAAUGGACGGAAGUCUGACCGAGCAACGCCGCGUGAGUGAAGAAGGUUUUCGGAUCGUAAAGCUCUGUUGUAAGAGAAGAACGAGUGUGAGAGUGGAAAGUUCACACUGUGACGGUAUCUUACCAGAAAGGGACGGCUAACUACGUG